UUUGAUAUUAUCUGGAAGUCAGGAGAUGUAACCCUAAAUUAACCAAAGAAAAUGGUAUUGAAGGUUCAGCCCUAUGUGACUCAUGCAUUUUUGCGUACGAAAAUGCAUGUGUGGGUCAUGUAAAUAAGAGAACGAAGACCAUAUAAUAAUUUUUCAAUUUAAAGUCAAGAGCUCACAUUUUAUCCUGACAAUGUAGAUUUUGGAUAAACCUUUUUAUUUACCAAAAAGGAUUUUAAACCUGAAUUUCUAGAGUAUUCUUACCUAUCACCGUAACGACUCUCACCACUGAGCUAAGUCUAAUUUCUUAAUUAAGUUUGAGUAUAAUUCGUUUAAUAUUGUUUUGAUUUGCCCUCAUGAUUGAUUAAUUUAAGGGAAGAACGAACUAGUCGAUUGAUAGAGAAAUGCUUUAUUGUAUGUGUAUUGGUUUGGACAACAGUAAAUCCCAACAAUAAUACAAGUACAGUAGAUAGAGAUUGG
RNAcentral lists this long non-coding RNA (477 nucleotides) under Malus domestica (apple). RNAcentral's name for it is "long non-coding RNA (MDOM_LNC014155)". Lineage: Eukaryota; Viridiplantae; Streptophyta; Magnoliopsida; Rosales; Rosaceae. The record is from RNAcentral.